GGGAUGCGGACCUUGUGACGUCACCCGCAGACUCCUACUUUGUGGGAAUUGUAGUCCAGCAGAAUGGAAGUCCCAGAACAGAUCGAUUUUUCAGGGAUGGUGGAACGCCUCAUAAGUUGGUGGCGCUAAAUAUCUUCAGGAAAUAGGAAGAAUAUAAUCAAGUGAUGUCAUCACAGCAGGCAUAUGACUGACCUUCAACGUUGGAAUUUGGUUGAAAUAAGGUCAGUUGUUUGUUCAACGAUGAAUGGUAAACGGUUGCAAAAGGUUAAUAAAAUGCUUAAAAAUCAACGUUGAAAUUUGAUUGAAAUAAUUUCAGUUGUUGUUCAACGUUAAAAAAUUUGCAAAAUCAAAAGGUAAUUCAACGUUGAUUCAACCUUGUCCUUGACCUUUAAUCAACGUUGAAAUGCCAGCUGGCAUUAGUGUGAUUUUUAUUUUAAAAUAAAGAGAUUUUUGUUAAACGGUAACACCAGUGACACAAAUCUGGGGGACAACUGCUUUCAUUAUAUAUUUUUUAAUUUAAUUCACAAUUUUAGGUUUCUUUGCCAGUUACAUAUUAUUUGACAGAUAUAUCAUUAGAUUUUAAAUUGUAGAAAUUUUUCCUCUGUACUUGACUGCGGGGAUGAGCACUUUUGUGGUGCUUGGAAUUGUAAAUAAUUAGUGAAUACAAAAUUGCCACAUUAAUGAUUAAGAAGGUGUAAUUGCUCAAAUAACAAAUUUAAUUUGAAAAAAAAAUUAAUGAAACCCUAAGGUGUUUUUCAAAUGUAAUAUUUUUGUAAAGGCUAGGGACAAAAAAUGAAUGACUGAAAUGAAUGAUUCAAAUAUGACUGUCUUUCAUGAUUUUUUU
Molecule: non-coding RNA, 844 nt
Organism: Misgurnus anguillicaudatus (oriental weatherfish)
Lineage: Eukaryota; Metazoa; Chordata; Actinopteri; Cypriniformes; Cobitidae
Source: RefSeq, a predicted model, not a curated record